Molecule: ribosomal RNA, 410 nt
Filed under: uncultured bacterium
Lineage: Bacteria
Description: bacterial SSU rRNA
Rfam family: Bacterial small subunit ribosomal RNA
Source: RNAcentral
UCGAGAAUCAUUCACAAUGGGGGAAACCCUGAUGGUGCGACGCCGCGUGGGGGAAGAAGGUCUUCGGAUCGUAAACCCCUGUCAUGUGGGAGCAAGCAGCGAUGUAGAUAGUACCACAAGAGGAAGCCACGGCUAACUACGUGCCAGCAGCCGCGGUAAUACGUAGGUGGCAAGCGUUGUCCGGAAUGAUUGGGCGUAAAGGGCGCGUAGGCGGCCUGGUAAGUUUGGAGUGAAAGUCCUAUUUUUAAGGUGGGAAUUGCUUUGAAAACUGCUGGGCCUGAGUGCAGGAGAGGUUAGUGGAAUUCCCGGUGUAGCGGUGAAAUGCGUAGAGAUCGGGAGGAACACCAGUGGCGAAGGCGACUAACUGGACUGUAACUGACGCUGAGGCGCGAAAGUGUGGGGAGCAAACA